RNAcentral lists this transfer RNA (85 nucleotides) under Felis catus (domestic cat). It matches the Rfam family "tRNA". From Rfam's summary of the family: Transfer RNA (tRNA) molecules are approximately 80 nucleotides in length. Their secondary structure includes four short double-helical elements and three loops (D, anti-codon, and T loops). Further hydrogen bonds mediate the characteristic L-shaped molecular structure. tRNAs have two regions of fundamental functional importance: the anti-codon, which is responsible for specific mRNA codon recognition, and the 3' end, to which the tRNAs corresponding amino acid is attached (by aminoacyl-tRNA synthetases). tRNAs cope with the degeneracy of the genetic code in two manners: having more than one tRNA (with a specific anti-codon) for a particular amino acid; and 'wobble' base-pairing, i.e. permitting non-standard base-pairing at the 3rd anti-codon position. The record is from Rfam by way of RNAcentral. Lineage: Eukaryota; Metazoa; Chordata; Mammalia; Carnivora; Felidae.
GCCUGGGUGGCUCAGUCGGUUGAGCGUCUGACUUCGGCUCAGGUCAUGAUCUCACAGUCUGUGGGUUCGAGCCCCACACCAGGCU